CGCAUCUGUGCAUGCCGCAUAUCAAUAAGCGGAGGAAAAGAAACUAACAAGGAUUCCCUAGUAACGGCGAGUGAAGCGGGAAGAGCUCAAAUUUGAAAUCUUCAAGGUUUUACCUUGACGAAUUGUAGUUUAAUGAAGUGUUUUCUGUUGAAGUUUUGGUAAAAGUUCUUUGGAAUAGGACAUCAUAGAGGGUGAGAAUCCCGUAUUUGACCAUUAUUUUCAGCUGUGUGAUACACUUUCAAAGAGUCGGAUUGUUUGGGAAUGCAGAUCCAAAAUGGGUGGUAAAUUUCAUCUAAAGCUAAAUAUUGGCGAGAGACCGAUAGCGAACAAGUACCGUGAGGGAAAGAUGAAAAGAACUUUGAAAAGAGAGUUAAACAGUACGUGAAAUUGUCAAAAGGGAAGCGUUUGACACCAGUGUUGUUUUCUCGAAAAUCAAUUAAAAAGAGUUUAGAUUUUGUUGUGUACUUGACCUUAACAGCUUGCAUUUCAAUUUUCUUGCUUUUUUUAAUGCACUUUUCGUUUAACAAGUCAACAUCAGUUUCUUUUGUUGUAAAAAGGUCAUUGGAAGGUGGCUUUCCUUUCGGAGAAAGUGUUUAUAGCCUUUGACUCCUGCAAUCGGAGAGACUGAGGUCUGCAGCGUAGAUCCUUCGGGGUUAGAUACAUUUGUGCUAAGUUAUAGCUUUUUAUAGACAACUUGUUGACUAUGAUUAGUCUUGUAGGCUUACUCGCUUAUGCUAUUUUACCUACGCUUAGGAUGUUGAUGUGAUACUGCGAGCA
Molecule: ribosomal RNA, 777 nt
Filed under: uncultured Neocallimastigales
Lineage: Eukaryota; Fungi; Neocallimastigomycota; Neocallimastigomycetes; Neocallimastigales
Description: partial large subunit ribosomal RNA
Rfam family: Eukaryotic large subunit ribosomal RNA
Source: RNAcentral